Long non-coding RNA from Dermacentor andersoni, 780 nucleotides. RefSeq lists it as uncharacterized. NCBI's taxonomy places the organism in Eukaryota, Metazoa, Arthropoda, Arachnida, Ixodida, Ixodidae. The record is from RefSeq and is a predicted model, not a curated record.
AUGGUAUUAUUUCUCCCUUGACUUCCUCCACUAAUCCUCUAGCCUCCCCUUCGUUACUGCCACUCUUUUCUCGUCUAUUUGCCUUCGUUCCCCGGGAAAACCUAAUGCCCCUUCCAUAUGUGUCACUGUUCCAUAUGACUGUUCCCUCAGCCAGAGUCGGGCGAAGGUCUGUGCAUCUCAGCACUAUAUGCUCUGUGGUCUCAAUUUCGGCUCCGCAAGCUGUGCACAAAAGGUCCACGUCUUCAAAUUUAGCCCUUGACCUUUCUACGGACAGCAGUGUCUGGUGGUUGCGGCCAAACAGCAUCCUCUAGUCUAAGCCAGGACCAACUUUUUGUCCCCUCAGAGCCUGCUUACAGUAGUUCAGGCUCGGACAGCUCAAGAUGCUGGUCAAUUCAAGCAUCUUUAAAACUGCUGGUUGGGCUGCAUCUUCAGAUAAUUCAAAUAAAUGUAUAUGCAUUGACUAGGCCAAAAAAUGCCUAACCGAUAAGGAAUCAUGGCUUCAAAUGCAUACCAGUGCUGUACGACAAGCAAAUUUUAACAAGAAGAUUGCACAGUACAAGCUCUUCCACUCCUGGCUCAAUGCUUGACUGUCCUGAAAGCACCAGAAUGUGAACUGGAUUGUCCUGUGGGAAGCACCAGUGAUUUCCGCAGUUUUCUUCUGGUAGGUCCCAGACCUGGAGAGCAGAACAAUCUUGGCCCGGACGCAUUUAAAUGGUAUUACUUUGAAAGUGCAACAGUAUGCAAUAUCAUACUUCACCAAUAAAAUAUAUAUAUAUGUAA